This 253-nucleotide ribosomal RNA is filed under the name uncultured bacterium. RNAcentral's name for it is "partial 16S ribosomal RNA". It matches the Rfam family "Bacterial small subunit ribosomal RNA", at positions 524 to 776 of the family's 1533-position model. The record is from RNAcentral.
UACGUAGGGUGCGAGCGUUGUCCGGAAUUAUUGGGCGUAAAGAGCUUGUAGGCGGUUUGUUACGUCUGCUGUGAAAAUCCGGGGCUCAACCCCGGACUUGCAGUGGGUACGGGCAGACUAGAGUGUGGUAGGGGAGACUGGAAUUCCUGGUGUAGCGGUGAAAUGCGCAGAUAUCAGGAGGAACACCGAUGGCGAAGGCAGGUCUCUGGGCCACUACUGACGCUGAGAAGCGAAAGCAUGGGGAGCGAACAGG